Molecule: ribosomal RNA, 497 nt
Filed under: uncultured bacterium
Lineage: Bacteria
Description: partial 16S ribosomal RNA
Rfam family: Bacterial small subunit ribosomal RNA
Source: RNAcentral
GAUGAACGCUGGCGGCGUGCUUAAUACAUGCAAGUCGAGCGAACGGACGAGAAGCUUGCUUCUCUGAUGUUAGCGGCGGACGGGUGAGUAACACGUGGAUAACCUACCUAUAAGACUGGGAUACCUUCGGGAAACCGUAGCUAAUACCGGAUAAUAUUUUGAACCGCAUGGUUCAAAAGUGAAAGACGGUCUUGCUGUCACUUAUAGAUGGAUCCGCGCUGCAUUAGCUAGUUGGUAAGGUAACGGCUUACCAAGGCAACGAUGCAUAGCCGACCUGAGAGGGGGAUCGGCCACACGAGAACUGAGACACGGACCAGACUCCUACGAGAGGCAGCAGUAGGGAAUCUUCCGCAGUGGGCGAAAGCCUGACGGAGCAACGCCGCGUGAGUGAUGAAGGUCUUCGGAGCGUAAAACUCUGUUAUUAGGGAAGAACAUAUGUGUAAGUAACUGUGCACAUCGUGACGGUACCUAAUCAGAAAGCCACGGCUAACUACGUG